Molecule: long non-coding RNA, 424 nt
Filed under: Felis catus (domestic cat)
Lineage: Eukaryota; Metazoa; Chordata; Mammalia; Carnivora; Felidae
Description: lncRNA (ENSFCAG00000047463.1)
Source: RNAcentral
GUUCGGAGCGCGGUCCAGCCAGAGUGCCUACGAGACACGGUUCCGCGGAUAUUAGUGUUAUGCAUCAAAAAAUGAAUUGGGAAGCAUCUCAUCUCUAACUACAGCAAGAAAUAGUAGUCCUGGUCCCUGAACUACCCAGGAACCAGUCAGAAGUUGUGAAGACUACUGUGAUUAAUGGAGAACAUAAUGAAAUAUCCCAUCUCCCACUGCCUUUAAAGGUAUUAGUGUUUGCUCCAACUAAGGCUUUUUCUCUCCUACCAAUUCCAUGGACUAUGAAAAUAUAUAACAGCUGGCUCUAUAAUCUGUUCAAUGAAUUUCAACCUCAUCUGUGAUUAAUAAUCAUCUUUGGUUUGCUCCACAAAUAUCUGAGUGCCAGACUCCAUGAUACAUAUGGUAAAUAAAGUAAGUAUGAUCCCUGUCCUCA